This 467-nucleotide ribosomal RNA is filed under the name uncultured bacterium. RNAcentral describes it as "partial 16S ribosomal RNA". It matches the Rfam family "Bacterial small subunit ribosomal RNA", at positions 28 to 507 of the family's 1533-position model. The record is from RNAcentral.
GAUGAACGCUGGCGGCGUGCUUAACACAUGCAAGUCGAACGGAAAGGCCUCUUUCGGGGGGUACUCGAGUGGCGAACGGGUGAGUAACACGCGAGUAACCUGCCCUUGUCUUUGGGAUAACUUCAGGAAACUGGGGCUAAUACCGGCUAGGAGCUCCUGCUGCAUGGUGGGGGUUGGAAAGUUUCGGCGGUUGGGGAUGGACUCGCGGCGUAUCAGCUUGUUGGUGGGGUAGUGGCUUACCAAGGCUUUGACGGGUAGCCGGCCUGAGGGGGUGACCGGCCACAUUGGGACUGAGAUACGGCACAGACUGCUACGGGAGGCAGCAGUGGGGAAUCUUGCACGAUGAGUGGAAGCCUGAUGCAGCAACGCCGUGUGCGGGAUGACGGCCUUCGUGUUGUAAACCGCUUUCGCUCAUGACGAAGCUUUGUGUGACGGUAGUGGGUAAAGAAGCACCGGCUAACUACGUG